GCNNNNNGGGGCGGGCCCUAAANUGCAAGUCGAGCGGUAGAGAGAAGCUUGCUUCUCUUGAGAGCGGCGGACGGGUGAGUAAUGCCUAGGAAUCUGCCUAGUGGUGGGGGAUAACGUUCGGAAACGGACGCUAAUACCGCAUACGUCCUACGGGAGAAAGCGGGGGACCUUCGGGCCUCGCGCCAUUAGAUGAGCCUAGGUCGGAUUAGCUAGUUGGUGAGGUAAAGGCUCACCAAGGCGACGAUCCGUAACUGGUCUGAGAGGAUGAUCAGUCACACUGGAACUGAGACACGGUCCAGACUCCUACGGGAGGCAGCAGUGGGGAAUAUUGGACAAUGGGCGAAAGCCUGAUCCAGCCAUGCCGCGUGUGUGAAGAAGGUCUUCGGAUUGUAAAGCACUUUAAGUUGGGAGGAAGGGUAGUAACUUAAUACGUUGCUACUUUGACGUUACCGACAGAAUAAGCACCGGCUAACUUCGUGCCAGCAGCCGCGGUAAUACGAAGGGUGCAAGCGUUAAUCGGAAUUACUGGGCGUAAAGCGCGCGUAGGUGGUUCAGUAAGUUGGAUGUGAAAUCCCCGGGCUCAACCUGGGAACUGCAUCCAAAACUGCUGAACUAGAGUACGGUAGAGGGUGGUGGAAUUUCCUGUGUAGCGGUGAAAUGCGUAGAUAUAGGAAGGAACACCAGUGGCGAAGGCGACCACCUGGACUGAUACUGACACUGAGGUGCGAAAGCGUGGGGAGCAAAACAGGAUUAGAUACCCUGGUAGUCCACGCCGUAAACGAUGUCAACUAGCCGUUGGGAGUCUUUGAACUCUUAGUGGCGCAGCUAACGCAUUAAGUUGACCGCCUGGGGAGUACGGCCGCAAGGUUAAAACUCAAAUGAAUUGACGGGGGCCCGCACAACCGGUGGAGCCUGUGGUUUAAUUCAAACACNCAAGAACCUUANCUGGCCUUGANAUGUUAGAACU
RNAcentral lists this ribosomal RNA (967 nucleotides) under Pseudomonas sp. HPCPW34. Its description in RNAcentral is "bacterial SSU rRNA". It matches the Rfam family "Bacterial small subunit ribosomal RNA", at positions 35 to 996 of the family's 1533-position model. The record is from RNAcentral. Lineage: Bacteria; Pseudomonadati; Pseudomonadota; Gammaproteobacteria; Pseudomonadales; Pseudomonadaceae.